Molecule: ribosomal RNA, 429 nt
Filed under: Acidobacteriota bacterium
Lineage: Bacteria; Pseudomonadati; Acidobacteriota
Description: Acidobacteria bacterium partial 16S ribosomal RNA
Rfam family: Bacterial small subunit ribosomal RNA
Source: RNAcentral
UGGGGAAUUUUGGACAAUGGGGGAAACCCUGAUCCAGCCAUCCCGCGUGUGCGAUGAAGGCCUUCGGGUUGUAAAGCACUUUUGGCAGGAAAGAAACGUCAUGGGUUAAUACCCCGUGAAACUGACGGUACCUGCAGAAUAAGCUCCGGCUAACUACGUGCCAGCAGCCGCGGUAAUACGUAGGGUGCAAGCGUUAAUCGGAAUUACUGGGCGUAAAGCGUGCGCAGGCGGUUCGGAAAGAAAGAUGUGAAAUCCCAGAGCUCAACUUUGGAACUGCAUUUUUAACUACCGGGCUAGAGUGUGGCAGAGGGAGGUGGAAUUCCGCGUGUAGCAGUGAAAUGCGUAGAUAUGCGGAGGAACACCGAUGGCGAAGGCAGCCUCCUGGGAUAACACUGACGCUCAUGCACGAAAGCGUGGGGAGCAAACAGG